UGGGGAAUAUUGGACAAUGGGCGAAAGCCUGAUCCAGCCAUGCCGCGUGUGUGAAGAAGGUCUUCGGAUUGUAAAGCACUUUAAGUUGGGAGGAAGGGCAGUAAGCGAAUACCUUGCUGUUUUGACGUUACCGACAGAAUAAGCACCGGCUAACUCUGUGCCAGCAGCCGCGGUAAUACAGAGGGUGCAAGCGUUAAUCGGAAUUACUGGGCGUAAAGCGCGCGUAGGUGGUUCGUUAAGUUGAAUGUGAAAGCCCCGGGCUCAACCUGGGAACUGCAUCCAAGACUGGCGAGCUAGAGUAGGGCAGAGGGUGGUGGAGUUUCCUGUGUAGCGGUGAAAUGCGUGGAUAUAGGAAGGAACACCAGUGGCGAAGGCGACCACCUGGGCUCAUACUGACACUGAGGUGCGAAAGCGUGGGGAGCAAACAGG
RNAcentral lists this ribosomal RNA (429 nucleotides) under Pseudomonadota bacterium. Its description in RNAcentral is "Proteobacteria bacterium partial 16S ribosomal RNA". It matches the Rfam family "Bacterial small subunit ribosomal RNA", at positions 355 to 776 of the family's 1533-position model. Lineage: Bacteria; Pseudomonadati; Pseudomonadota. The record is from RNAcentral.